Molecule: ribosomal RNA, 497 nt
Filed under: uncultured bacterium
Lineage: Bacteria
Description: partial 16S ribosomal RNA
Rfam family: Bacterial small subunit ribosomal RNA
Source: RNAcentral
GAUGAACGCUGGCGGCGUGCCUAAUACAUGCAAGUCGAGCGAACGGACGAUAAGCUUGCUUCUCUGAUGUUAGCGGCGGACGGGUGAGUAACACGUGGAUCACCUACCUAUAAUACUUGGAUAACUUCGGGAAACCGGAGCUAAUACCGGCUGAUAUUUUGAACCGCAUGGUUCAAAAGUUAUAGACGGUCUUGCUGUUACUUAUAGAUGGAUCCGCGCUGCAUUAGCUAGUUGGUAAGGUAACGGCUUACCAAGGCAACGAUGCAUAGCCGACCUGAGAGGGUGAGCGGCCACACUGGAACUGAGACACGGUCCAGACUCCUACGGGAGGCAGCAGUAGGGAAUAUUCCGCAAUGGGCGAAAGCCUGACGGAGCAACGCCGCGUGAGUGAUGAAGGUCUUCGGAUCGUAAAACUCUGUUAUUAGGGAAGAAAAUAUGUGUAAGAAACUGUGGACAUCUUGACGGUACCUAAUCAGAAAGCCACGGCUAACUGCGUG